UAACAAAGCAAAGCAACAGCGCUCUCACAGUUCCGGACGCAGUAAAAAGUUCUUUGUCUGCGCAACGCGAGCAGAGGCAGCGGUAGCGGCAGCGGACUGCGACGUCGGUCUACGCUGCAUGCGUUCCCCGUUCGUUGUACACAAUUCGCAGUUGUGUGUUGUUUUGUUGACAGUCACAGCAGAGUAAGAGCGCAGUAAGCAGCGCGUUGACAUCGCGAGAUAGAGUCGAGAGCCAGGCAGGCAGCAAGAAGUUGACUGCGACGUCAGCAGUGACUGCGCUGACUCGCUGUAAUAGUUGGAGUUGGUGUGUGCAAAAUACAUAAACACAUACACACAUCCACACACAUGGUAUAGUGAUGUAUGCGUGUGAGAAAUGCAAGUGCAGCUAAACAAAGCAACAGCUUACCACGCGCCAUAACAACAACAAGAGCCAAACAGUCAGUCAAACUGAGCGUUGCAACGCGGACGUCCCACAGCACACAAAAACACAAAACAAAAAAGGAAAGCUGCUGCUUUGGCUGCUGGUGACAUGACAAGAGAAGGAUAACGACGACGAAGGAGUUCACUAAAUCUACAAAACAAAAUUUGUUCUUGUGCUGUUUCGGAAACAAAACAAAAGAGUAAAAAUGUCAUCGUCGGCGAAUGUGAAUAAUAAUCAACAACAACAACAGCAACAACAACCACAACAACAAAAAGAGAGUCCAAGUCGCGACUCAACCGCAUCGACAUCGGGACACAUCUCGAUGAUGGCGGAGAAUACGCUUGAAUCGCUGUCGCGUGAUUACAGUUUGGCCAGCCUCAAUUCGGCUGGCAGCCAGGACGAGUUCUUUCGGUGUCGCGAUCAUGCGGACAGCGUUCUCAAGCGCAUGCAACUCUAUGUUGACAGCCAGCAGCUGUGCGAUGUGGUGCUCAUCGCUGGCACCGAUGGCAAGCGUGUGCCCGCUCAUCGAUUGGUGCUAUCUGCGUCUAGCGCAUACUUUUCGGCCAUGUUCACGGGAUCGCUGCGCGAGACGAAGGAACAUGAGGUGACGCUGGGCGAGGUGAACGGAGAUGCGCUGCAGCUGCUGGUGCAGUAUUGCUACACAGGAUUCAUUGAGUUGCGCGAGGACACGGUGGAGACGCUGCUCGCCACCGCGUGUCUGUUGCAGCUGAAUGCUGUGGUCACCGCAUGCUGCAACUUCUUGGCCCGCCAAUUGCAUCCGUCGAAUUGUUUGGGCUUUGCAUUCUUUGCGGAACAACAGAGCUGCACGACACUGUUGCGUUUGGCCCAGGCGUAUACGUGUCAGUAUUUCAUGCAAGUGUGCCAGAAUCAGGAGUUCUUUCAGCUGAAUGCCGAUCAAUUGGGCAAGCUGCUGUGCAGCGAUGAUCUCAACGUACCCUCCGAACAGGAUGUCUUCCACAGUCUGAUGUCAUGGGUGCGUCACGAUGCCCCCAAUCGGGAGCAGCACAUUGCCGAGCUGUUGGCCCUCGUUCGUCUGCCGUUGCUGCAACCCGCCUUCAUCAUGGAUCAUGUGGAGAACGUGUGCAGCUCGAACGAGUGCCAGCAACUGGUGAUGGAGGCCUUCAAAUGGCAUCUGAUGCCUGAGCGUCGAUCGAGAACCGAACGCACAACGCCACGCAAAUCGACUGUGGGACGUCUGUUGGCCGUCGGUGGGAUGGAUGUGCACAAGGGGGCCAUUAGCAUUGAGAGCUAUUGUCCGCGACUCGACAAAUGGACGCCCUGGAAGCAUAUGACCGGACGUCGUUUGCAAUUCGGUGCCGCUGUCAUGGAGGAUAAAUUGAUAUUGGUCGGUGGUCGGGAUGGGCUCAAAACGUUGAAUACGGUGGAGAGCUUGGACUUGAAUACGAUGGCAUGGGCACCCCUGAAUCCGAUGGCAACGCCACGACAUGGUCUCGGUGUUGCGGUGCUUGAGGGACCUCUGUAUGCGGUCGGUGGACACGAUGGCUGGAGUUACCUGAACACAGUGGAACGCUGGGAUCCUGUGACACGCAGCUGGAGCUAUGUGGCACCCAUGUCAUCGAUGCGUUCCACAGCUGGCGUUGCGGUGCUCGGCGGUCGUCUCUAUGCGGUGGGCGGACGCGAUGGCACCGUCUGUCAUCGUUCCAUCGAGUGCUACGAUCCGCAUACCAACAAAUGGACUCUCCUCGCUCCAAUGAAUCAACGUCGCGGCGGCGUUGGCGUGACUGUGGCAAAUGGUUUUCUUUAUGCCUUGGGCGGUCAUGAUUGUCCGGCCAGCAAUCCGAUGGUGAGUCGCACCGAAACUGUUGAACGCUAUGAUCCAGUCAGCGAUACUUGGACAUUGAUCUGUUCGCUGUCAUUGGGACGUGAUGCAAUUGGUUGUGCUCUGUUGGGUGAUCGCUUGAUUGUCGUCGGCGGGUACGAUGGCAAGAACGCGUUGAAGAAUGUCGAGGAAUACGAUCCGGUGCGGAAUGGAUGGAAUGAAUUGGCGCCCAUGUCACUGCCCCGAGCUGGCGCAUGUGUUGUUGCCAUACCGAAUGUUAUUCCGCCAGCGGCUCCACAGCCGCCGGCCAGUGCUACAGUUUAGUUCACACUUCCAAUUAUCAUUGUUGUUGAUGUUGAUGUUGUUGCUGUUGUUGCGUGUUGCUGUGUUGUUGUAGUUGUGUAUGAGCUGUUGUACUGCCAAAAAAAUGCACUAUGACCACUGCUGCUGCUGCUGCUACUACUACUACUACUACUACUACUACUAUAUUCCUAUUUACCCAAUUACUACAUACUCCUAUUACCUAUCGAUCGACAUACGAGAGACAUGCCAACAUAACAUAACACAACAAACAAACAAACAAACAUAUCAAGCCAAUUUUGCGAAAUUAUCGAUUACGUUAGCGAUGACAAAUUCUUAACAUAAAUUUGAUUUGAUUCUGCUUAACAUACACGAUAGUUUCAUCAAAAAUGGUUCGAUCCUUUGGCCUGGUCUGGCAUUUGUUGAAAAAGAAGAAGUGGAAGCCAGUUAGAUUGGAUCCAAUCUGCUAUUUGCGCCGUAGAUCCGUCGAAUUUGUCGACUACUAUCAUAUGUAAUUGUGAAAUAAAAAAUCAAAAAACAAAA
RNA transcript from Drosophila sulfurigaster albostrigata, 3065 nucleotides. It is a transcript of the gene named kelch-like protein 5, with no coding region annotated. The transcript has 6 exons. The record is from RefSeq and is a predicted model, not a curated record. Lineage: Eukaryota; Metazoa; Arthropoda; Insecta; Diptera; Drosophilidae.